This is a long non-coding RNA of Oncorhynchus tshawytscha (Chinook salmon), 306 nucleotides long. Lineage: Eukaryota; Metazoa; Chordata; Actinopteri; Salmoniformes; Salmonidae. The record is from Ensembl.
CCCCCUCAGGUCCUCUAGCAGGUUAUUCCAGAUGCUGGGGUAUAGUUACUACAGGCUGCCUCUUGGUCCCCCUCAGGUUCUCUAGCAGGUUAUUCCAGAGGCUGGGGUAUAGUUACUACAGGCUGCCUCUUGGUCCCCCUCAGGUCCUCUAGCAGGUUAUUCCAGAUGCUGGGGUAUAGUUACUACAGGCUGCCUCUUGGUCCCCCUCAGGUUCUCUAGCAGGUUAUUCCAGAGGCUGGGGUAUAGUUACUACAGGCUGCCUCUUGGUCCCCCUCAGGUUCUCUAGCAGGUUAUUCCAGAGGCUGG